AUUGAACGCUGGCGGCAGGCCUAACACAUGCAAGUCGAACGGCAGCACAGAAGAGCUUGCUCUUUGGGUGGCGAGUGGCGGACGGGUGAGUAAUGUCUGGGAAACUGCCCGAUGGAGGGGGAUAACUACUGGAAACGGUAGCUAAUACCGCAUAACGUCGCGAGACCAAAGUGGGGGACCUUCGGGCCUCACACCAUCGGAUGUGCCCAGAUGGGAUUAGCUAGUAGGUGGGGUAAUGGCUCACCUAGGCGACGAUCCCUAGCUGGUCUGAGAGGAUGACCAGCCACAAUGGAACUGAGACACGGUCCAGACUCCUACGGGAGGCAGCAGUGGGGAAUAUUGCACAAUGGGCGCAAGCCUGAUGCAGCCAUGCCGCGUGUAUGAAGAAGGCCUUCGGGUUGUAAAGUACUUUCAGCGGGGAGGAGGGCGGUGAGGUUAAUAACCUCGCCGAUUGACGUUACCCGCAGAAGAAGCACCGGCUAACUCCGUGCCAGCCGCCGCAGUAA
This 506-nucleotide ribosomal RNA is filed under the name uncultured bacterium. Its description in RNAcentral is "partial 16S ribosomal RNA". It matches the Rfam family "Bacterial small subunit ribosomal RNA", at positions 29 to 523 of the family's 1533-position model. The record is from RNAcentral.